Molecule: long non-coding RNA, 639 nt
Organism: Camelus dromedarius (Arabian camel)
Lineage: Eukaryota; Metazoa; Chordata; Mammalia; Artiodactyla; Camelidae
Exons: 4
Source: RefSeq, a predicted model, not a curated record
GGAGGGGGCGGAAGAACCACCUGGCGACCGUGAAGAGGCCAGGUUUUGGGGAGCAGCCAGAUAAAGAACUGUGUGACAGUGUGACAAGUACUAAAAAGAGGCGUGUUUGAAGUUCUUUAUGGCUGGAGAGGAAGGAGCACGAAAAUAACAAGUAGAAGAGAGGAUGUGAACAAAUUGGAAUCCUUGUGCAUCGUUGGUGUGAAGGUCAUGAAGACAUCCUCCCCAUGCUUUCUUCCAGAAGUUUUGUUGUUUAGUUUUCACACUUAGGUCUCGGAUCCAUUCUGAACUACUUCUCUCAACAGUGUAAGUGUAGGGAUCAAGAUUCAUGUUCCCACAUGUACAUAUGCAAUUGACCUAGCAUCAUGUAUUAAAAAGACCAUCUUUUCUGCACUCAUUUGCAGUGGUACCUUUGUAACAGAUCAGAUGACCAUAUAUAUGUGGAUCUCUCAAUUUGAUUUUAAAUACGUGUGUGUGUAUAAAGAUUUGAAAGCAGUAACAAGCUGUGUUAAUGGUUGCUGUAUUGUGGUGGUAUGGUUGUGGGUAAUUUUUGUUUUCUUUUGAGCAUUUUCUCCAUCAACCAUAAUACUAUUUUAAUACUCAGACAAAAUCGAUAAAGUAUUUUUCUAAAACAUUACAGGA